RNAcentral lists this long non-coding RNA (2842 nucleotides) under Zalophus californianus (California sea lion). Its description in RNAcentral is "lncRNA (ENSZCAG00015017333.1)". The record is from RNAcentral. Lineage: Eukaryota; Metazoa; Chordata; Mammalia; Carnivora; Otariidae.
AUGGGACCAGGGCUGAUUCACACUUGCUUCUCCAGCUUAGGCAUCCUGCCCACUCCUACUAUGUGCAUUUUGCUUCUCCCCCGUCCCCCUGUUUUCCUGGCAAUAGAUGGGCUGGAAAUUAAUACAGAAAGGGUUGGUGGGAGUCAAACCUCCACCAUCUUAACCAUGGCUGUUUGGGGGAAUACUUUGCAGGCAUCUCAGAAGAAUGUUCAUGCACCGGGUUUUUCCACUAGUGGAGAUGCUGAGAGUGAUGACUUGGCUGAGAAAGUGCGAAACCUCCAUGGAGAAUGGUCUGCCCGGAAACAGAGAUUGAGGCCAAGUUCACAGGCUAAUGUUCUAUGACAGAUGCAAUCCUAUGACUGCAAAAAAGGCAGGGGAAAAGAAUUGAAGCAGAAAAGGAGAGAAAAUGAAUGCAACGUGGUUUGUGGCCAAGCUGGUCAUGGUUUUGUAAGCAGCCCCACUUGGUCAGGUGGGGCAUCUCUGGAGGUGCUCUAUGCACCGUUUCAUAUGGGAAGAGUUGUUCUCUGGCGCAAAGCCCACAGCGUGUAAAUGCCCCUGUACUUCUGGACUGUUUCCAGUGCCUUUGGGCAGCCACUGGGAAAGCCGGGGCUUCUGUGGGUCCCACUGUGUUUGACUUGGGUAUGGAGCUUCUGUAGACCUUUCCGGUGUAACGACAGCCUUGCCGAAGGCACAGAUGUCUAUCAUUGUAGGAGGUGAGGUGACAAAAUGGAGUCUGGAGCUUUACAUCCAUCACGGGGACCUUAUCAGGGCAAGUGGGUCCUGAGAGGCAGGCAGGCAGGGCCAAACGCAUCUGUGGGAGUGGGCAUACACUGGAUCCAAUACCAAAAGGAAUAUCUUUCUCUUUGAAACUAGUAAUGAUCUGUGGAGUGACAAUCUGCCCCAUAGGAAUAUGGGGUUUUAGUACCCAUCGAUUAUUCUUGCCUGAACCACUUAUUAAAUCAGGAGUUGCAAGGUAUGGGGGCUAGUUGUACCCACUGCUACUAUACUAGGGUGUCAUUUCUUCUAGGCUCCUCAGGAACACAGCUAGGAAUAUAUUUAUGUAUAUAGGGAUAUAUAUAGGGAUUAUGUAUCUAUAUAUAUAUACAUUUUAAUUUCCCCUUCUUUCUUACACAAAUGCAGAACACUAUAUAUUCUUUGUCUAGAUUUUUUUUAAUAACAUGUACACAAGGAAUUGUUCCAUACUCAUUCAUAGAUUUAAGUUAAAUGCUAAAAUUCAUUAACUAUUUACUACAUAUGUAUGUCCAGUGUAUGUCAGGGUAGGCCAGGCAAUGUUGUAGUAAAAAACAAACCCCCAAGUCUUUACAAAUAAAGUUUGGUUUCUUGCUCACAUAAAGUCCUGUGUGGGGUAGGACACCUCCUAUGUCUUAAAGCCAUGUGACUUGGAACAGAUGUUCCCCAUGGUCACCAGACUGAGUAGUCAUGCCAGAGCCCAGUCACAUGGCCCCAAGCCAAUACAAGGGAGGUUGAAAAUGUGUCUCAUUCUUCAUGAAGAGGAAACAGAAAUGGCAUGUGGUGAAUUAUAUAGCAUUGUCUGUGCCAUACCAGACUUCACAUUCAUUCUCUCAUGGAAAUCCCACCACAGCUCUACAAGGUAGGUACUUGUAUUAUGCCCAUUUUACAGCAAAGGGCAUUGAGGCUCCAAGCUUCUGUAUGCCUUUCAAAAUUAUAGUGUUCCUGUCUGUCAGGAUUAAUUUCAGAUCCAGGUAUAUCUGGUAUUGUCCAUUAAAAAAAAAAACACAGCAAACCCAUUUGAUCCAUGCACAAAAGCAAAAUUCACAGAAACGUUGGAGAUCAGAGCGAGUGGUGUAGGACAAAUAUUUAGGCUUAGGAUUAAGAAGCUAUUUCUUACCAAAAAAGUGCAAAAUAAAAAUGAAAUCCCUGGAACAAUAAAGACUAAAACAUCACAGGACACAGUGUUUCAGUAACAUUGGAUAAUACAACAGCUUUAUUUAUCAUUUCUGAAUCAAGAGCUAGUGUUAUACACGUUUCUUAAUGUACAAAAUGGGACUGUAAACAUUUUUUUCUUCUUCUUCCUAAGUAAGAGCAUCAUAUGUUCAGUGCAUGAGAGAAAUAAUGACUCUUUCAAAACCAUUUGGGAUAGUUCUGAGGAAUUAAGCCAAGUGAGGUCCAGGGAUUUUAAAUUUGAAAAAUCUUCCUUUUAGAGGAGGAAAUAAAUAAAAUUUAAAGUCUUUUGGACAGUGUGUUUAGUCCCACAGUAUUUAUUAUAUUUGUAUACUAUCUAUUAUUAGAUUUAUUGCCUAAGAUUGGGUGCAACAAUGCUGGAUCCCAGUGUAUGUUUUUAGUAAGUGAUUGCAGCAAAAUGAACAAAAAUCACAAAACUAGGAACUCCACUUUAAAUGAAGCAUUGGGGGCGCCUGGGUGGCUCAGUCGUUAAGCGUCUGCCUUCGGCUCAGGUCAUGAUCCCAGGGUCCUGGGAUCGAGUCCCACAUCGGGCUCCCUGCUCUGCGGGAAGCCUGCUUCUCCCUCUCCCACUCCCCCUGCUUGUGUUCCUGCUCUCGCUAUGUCUCUCUUUGUCAAAUAAAUAAAUAAAAUCUUUAAAAAAAAAUAAAAAAAUAAAUGAAGCAUUGGCCAUCCAUAUAUGCAAGGGACUGCAGAUUCUAUGAAAAGGUAAGGUGGUUCCAGAAGGUGACUGUUCUAGAACAAGGCAAAGCUCACCCUUGCCUGUGAGCGUGAAGCAAACUCAUCCUGGCUGUUGAUCCAUCACAGUUUUCACCAUAAUGCCCUGCAAGCAUCAACCUCUUGUCAGUGGUUUCCAAACAUUUUGGACCCUAACUACAAUAAGAAAUAUUGUUAGCUGUGU